AAAUGGACUCUCAGCAACGGAUAUCU
RNAcentral lists this ribosomal RNA (26 nucleotides) under Frullania junghuhniana. RNAcentral's name for it is "partial 5.8S ribosomal RNA". Lineage: Eukaryota; Viridiplantae; Streptophyta; Jungermanniopsida; Porellales; Frullaniaceae. The record is from RNAcentral.